RNAcentral lists this long non-coding RNA (269 nucleotides) under Brassica napus (rape). Its description in RNAcentral is "long non-coding RNA (BNAP_LNC024978)". Lineage: Eukaryota; Viridiplantae; Streptophyta; Magnoliopsida; Brassicales; Brassicaceae. The record is from RNAcentral.
GAAUGUAACGGUCGUGUUCCCCUGACCUUGUGUGAACCUGUGAGGAAAAUACUUCGACGAUAACAUGAUAUAGUAUAAGCAAUAACUAAAUGAGACAAACACUUUUUACGUGGAAAACCUCCUCGAUGUGAGAAGAAAAACCACGGGACCGUAGUCCACUCAACAAUCCACUAUAUAAAUGUAUGUGAGUACAACCACGUUCUCCCUGUUCAACAACCUGAACAGAACAGAGACUCAAGCUACAAAGAGCUACCUCCAACACAAGAACA